Molecule: ribosomal RNA, 1445 nt
Filed under: Staphylococcus haemolyticus
Lineage: Bacteria; Bacillati; Bacillota; Bacilli; Caryophanales; Staphylococcaceae
Description: bacterial SSU rRNA
Rfam family: Bacterial small subunit ribosomal RNA
Source: RNAcentral
UUCGUGGCGCGGGCCAAACUGCAAGUCGAGCGAACAGAUAAGGAGCUUGCUCCUUUGACGUUAGCGGCGGACGGGUGAGUAACACGUGGGUAACCUACCUAUAAGACUGGGAUAACUUCGGGAAACCGGAGCUAAUACCGGAUAAUAUUUCGAACCGCAUGGUUCGAUAGUGAAAGAUGGUUUUGCUAUCACUUAUAGAUGGACCCGCGCCGUAUUAGCUAGUUGGUAAGGUAACGGCUUACCAAGGCGACGAUACGUAGCCGACCUGAGAGGGUGAUCGGCCACACUGGAACUGAGACACGGUCCAGACUCCUACGGGAGGCAGCAGUAGGGAAUCUUCCGCAAUGGGCGAAAGCCUGACGGAGCAACGCCGCGUGAGUGAUGAAGGUCUUCGGAUCGUAAAACUCUGUUAUUAGGGAAGAACAUACGUGUAAGUAACUGUGCACGUCUUGACGGUACCUAAUCAGAAAGCCACGGCUAACUACGUGCCAGCAGCCGCGGUAAUACGUAGGUGGCAAGCGUUAUCCGGAAUUAUUGGGCGUAAAGCGCGCGUAGGCGGUUUUUUAAGUCUGAUGUGAAAGCCCACGGCUCAACCGUGGAGGGUCAUUGGAAACUGGAAAACUUGAGUGCAGAAGAGGAAAGUGGAAUUCCAUGUGUAGCGGUGAAAUGCGCAGAGAUAUGGAGGAACACCAGUGGCGAAGGCGACUUUCUGGUCUGUAACUGACGCUGAUGUGCGAAAGCGUGGGGAUCAAACAGGAUUAGAUACCCUGGUAGUCCACGCCGUAAACGAUGAGUGCUAAGUGUUAGGGGGUUUCCGCCCCUUAGUGCUGCAGCUAACGCAUUAAGCACUCCGCCUGGGGAGUACGACCGCAAGGUUGAAACUCAAAGGAAUUGACGGGGACCCGCACAAGCGGUGGAGCAUGUGGUUUAAUUCGAAGCAACGCGAAGAACCUUACCAAAUCUUGACAUCCUUUGACAACUCUAGAGAUAGAGCUUUCCCCUUCGGGGGACAAAGUGACAGGUGGUGCAUGGUUGUCGUCAGCUCGUGUCGUGAGAUGUUGGGUUAAGUCCCGCAACGAGCGCAACCCUUAAGCUUAGUUGCCAUCAUUAAGUUGGGCACUCUAAGUUGACUGCCGGUGACAAACCGGAGGAAGGUGGGGAUGACGUCAAAUCAUCAUGCCCCUUAUGAUUUGGGCUACACACGUGCUACAAUGGACAAUACAAAGGGCAGCGAAACCGCGAGGUCAAGCAAAUCCCAUAAAGUUGUUCUCAGUUCGGAUUGUAGUCUGCAACUCGACUACAUGAAGCUGGAAUCGCUAGUAAUCGUAGAUCAGCAUGCUACGGUGAAUACGUUCCCGGGUCUUGUACACACCGCCCGUCACACCACGAGAGUUUGUAACACCCGAAGCCGGUGGAGUAACCAUUGGAGCUAGCCGUCGAAAGGG